RNAcentral lists this ribosomal RNA (442 nucleotides) under uncultured bacterium. RNAcentral describes it as "partial 16S ribosomal RNA". It matches the Rfam family "Bacterial small subunit ribosomal RNA", at positions 338 to 795 of the family's 1533-position model. The record is from RNAcentral.
CCUACGGGAGGCAGCAGUGGGGAAUAUUGGGCAAUGGACGCAAGUCUGACCCAGCAACGCCGCGUGAAGGAAGAAGGCUUUCGGGUUGUAAACUUCUUUUAAGGGGGAAGAGCAGAAGACGGUACCCCUUGAAUAAGCCACGGCUAACUACGUGCCAGCAGCCGCGGUAAUACGUAGGGGGCAAGCGUUAUCCGGAUUUACUGGGUGUAAAGGGAGCGCAGACGGCAGUGCAAGUCUGGAGUGAAAGCCCUGGGCCCAACCCCGGAACUGCUCUGGAAACUGUGCGGCUAGAGUACUGGAGGGGCAGGCGGAAUUCCUAGUGUAGCGGUGAAAUGCGUAGAUAUUAGGAGGAACACCAGUGGCGAAGGCGGCCUGCUGGACAGUAACUGACGUUGAGGCUCGAAAGCGUGGGGAGCAAACAGGAUUAGAUACCCCAGUAGUC